RNAcentral lists this ribosomal RNA (471 nucleotides) under uncultured bacterium. RNAcentral's name for it is "bacterial SSU rRNA". It matches the Rfam family "Bacterial small subunit ribosomal RNA", at positions 330 to 793 of the family's 1533-position model. The record is from RNAcentral.
GCCAGACUCCUACGGGAGGCAGCAGUUAGGGAUAUUCGUCAAUGGGGGAAACCCUGAACGAGCAAUGCCGCGUGAAUGAAGACGGUCCUAUGGAUUGUAAAAUUCUGUUGUUAGGGACGAACGACCGUAGUAGGAAAUGACUACGGAGUGACGGUACCUUUCAAGAAAGCUCCGGCUAACUACGUGCCAGCAGCCGCGGUAAUACGUAGGGAGCGAGCGUUAUCCGGAUUUAUUGGGUGUAAAGCGUGUGUAGGCGGUAAAUUAAGUCUAAGGUUUAAGCCCGGGGCUCAACUCCGGUUCGCCUUAGAAACUGGUUUUCUUGAGUAUGGUAGAGGCAAGUGGAAUUUCUAGUGUAGCGGUAAAAUGCGUAGAUAUUAGAAGGAACACCAGUGGCGAAGGCGACUUGCUGGGCCAAAACUGACGCUGAGACACGAAAGCGUGGGGAGCAAAUAGGAUUAGAUACCCUAGUAC